Molecule: non-coding RNA, 90 nt
Organism: Pangasianodon gigas (Mekong giant catfish)
Lineage: Eukaryota; Metazoa; Chordata; Actinopteri; Siluriformes; Pangasiidae
Source: the annotation of a GenBank genome assembly
UCCCUGGGGGUCUAGUGGUUAGGCCACAGCGCUCUCACCGCUCUCACCGCUCUCACCGCUGUGGCCCGGGUUCGUUUCCCGGCCAAGAUA